CAAUAGCGUAUAUUAAAGUUGUUGCAGUUAAAAAGCUCGUAGUUGGAUUUCUGGUAGGAGUGACCGUUCCGAACUUGAUUGUUCGUGUAUUGUGUUUUCUCCAGCCAUCCUUGUGGAGAACUUUUCUUGCAUUAAUUUGUAGGGAUUGGGACCCGCAUCGUUUACUGUGAAAAAAUUAGAGUGUUUAAAGCAGGCAAUCGCUUGAAUACAUUAGCAUGGAAUAAUAAGAUAGGACUUUGGUACUAUUUUGUUGGUUUGCAUACCAAAUUAAUGAUCAACAGGAACAGUUUGAGGAUAUUCGUAUGAACAUGUCAGAGGUGAAAUUCUUAGAUUUUGAUCAGACGAACUACUGCGAAAGCAUUUAUCAAGGAUGUUUUCAUUAA
RNAcentral lists this ribosomal RNA (383 nucleotides) under uncultured eukaryote. RNAcentral's name for it is "partial 18S ribosomal RNA". It matches the Rfam family "Eukaryotic small subunit ribosomal RNA", at positions 592 to 976 of the family's 1831-position model. The record is from RNAcentral.